GUAGGUGGCAAGCGUUGUCCGGAAUUAUUGGGCGUAAAGCGCGCGCAGGCGGUUCUUUAAGUCUGAUGUGAAAGCCCACGGCUCAACCGUGGAGGGUCAUUGGAAACUGGAGAACUUGAGUACAGAAGAGGAAAGCGGAAUUCCACGUGUAGCGGUGAAAUGCGUAGAGAUGUGGAGGAACACCAGUGGCGAAGGCGGCUUUCUGGUCUGUAACUGACGCUGAGGCGCGAAAGCGUGGGGAGCAAACAGGGAUUAGAUACCCUGGUAGUCCACGCCGUAAACGAUGAGUGCUAGGUGUUAGGGGGUUUCCCGCCCCUUAGUGCUGCAGCUAACGCAUUAAGCACUCCGCCUGGGGAUACGGCCGCAAGGCUG
RNAcentral lists this ribosomal RNA (372 nucleotides) under uncultured organism. Its description in RNAcentral is "partial 16S ribosomal RNA". It matches the Rfam family "Bacterial small subunit ribosomal RNA", at positions 527 to 896 of the family's 1533-position model. The record is from RNAcentral.